Saccostrea cuccullata (small rock oyster) is the source of this 248-nucleotide long non-coding RNA. RefSeq lists it as uncharacterized. NCBI's taxonomy places the organism in Eukaryota, Metazoa, Mollusca, Bivalvia, Ostreida, Ostreidae. The record is from RefSeq and is a predicted model, not a curated record. The transcript is spliced from 4 exons.
GCAUUGGUCUUAAAAUCAAAUGUUAGGAAAUAUGAUGACGAUACUUGCCACUUGCACGUUUUUCAUCCUUUAUGGUUUUAUUCAUGCGGGGCCAACUUGCAUGCAUUGUAACGGAGCCGGAGACAUUGAAAAUUGUUUUUUAAAUACUGUCAGAUGCGGGGACCUUGAGGACUGUUAUUUAGACAAAUAUGUGGAUGAAAACUCGGCGAUCAGAUACGAUGCAGGGUGUCGUUCGAAACAGGUUUGUA